Molecule: non-coding RNA, 32 nt
Filed under: Mus musculus (house mouse)
Lineage: Eukaryota; Metazoa; Chordata; Mammalia; Rodentia; Muridae
Source: RNAcentral
UCUAAACCUCACAACAGUUGCCUACUGAUCUU